Molecule: ribosomal RNA, 765 nt
Filed under: Heterocapsa minima
Lineage: Eukaryota; Dinophyceae; Peridiniales; Heterocapsaceae
Description: eukaryotic LSU rRNA
Rfam family: Eukaryotic large subunit ribosomal RNA
Source: RNAcentral
ACCCGCUGAAUUUAAGCAUAUAAGUAAGCGGAGGAUAAGAAACUAAAUAGGAUUCCCUCAGUAAGGGCGACUGAACAGGGAUGAGCUCAGCAUGGAAAUCGGGGCCUGUGGCCUUGAAUUGUAGUCUCGAGUUGUACUGCCAACGGAGGCGCAGAUGUAAGCCUCUUGGAAAAGAGCAUCAACGAGGGUGAGAAUCCCGUUUGUCAUCUGCAGUCCCCCGUGCACGGCGUACUUCUAAAGAGUCACGUUCCUCGGGAUUGGAGCGCAAAGUGGGUGGUAAAUUUCAUCUAAAGCUAAAUAUAGGUUCGAGACCGAUAGCAAACAAGUACCAUGAGGGAAAGGUGAAAAGGACUUUGAAAAGAGAGUUAAAAGUGCCUGAAAUUGCUGAAAGGGAAGCGAAUGGAACCAGUGCUUCUUGGCAAGAUUGGUGCGUGCUAAUGUGAUUGGCUGCUGCCUCAGCGCAAGCGUGGUAGUGGUUUUUGAUCAGGAUGUGCGUGUUGUUUCUUGCCUUGUGUGUCAACGUCAGUUCUCAAUCGAGGAAAACGCCAGGGACAUGGUAGCUCUGCUGCGGUGGAGUGAAUGUGCUUGGUUGAACUCAUUUGUGGACUGGUUCUUGCGUGUCUGGUUGCAGUGUUCUUUGCUUUCCAGCUCUGCCUGUGAAGGGGAUCUCCUCUUCCAGCUGAACUGGGGAACUAGGGCAUCUCCCUGACACAACGACGCUGACUAAAUGGUUCUAUUCGACCCGUCUUGAAACACGGACCAAGG